RNAcentral lists this transfer RNA (72 nucleotides) under Sphaerodactylus townsendi. Its description in RNAcentral is "tRNA-Pro". The record is from RNAcentral. Lineage: Eukaryota; Metazoa; Chordata; Lepidosauria; Squamata; Sphaerodactylidae.
GGGCCUGUAGUUCAGUGGAAGAAAAUCUGCUUGGCAUGGCAAAGGCCCCUGGUUCUAUCCCAGGCAUCUCCA